CCUACGGGCGGCAGCAGUGGGGAAUAUUGCGCAAUGGGCGAAAGCCUGACGCAGCGACGCCGCGUGAGGGAUGAAGUUCUUCGGAUCGUAAACCUCUGUCAGCAGGGAAGAACGAUCACUGUGCUAAUCAGCAGUGAAUUGACGGUACCUGCAAAGGAAGCACCGGCUAACUCCGUGCCAGCAGCCGCGGUAAUACGGUGGGUGCGAGCGUUAAUCGGAAUUACUGGGCGUAAAGCGCUCGUAGGCGGUAUGUCAAGUCAAGGGUGAAAUCCCCGCGCUCAACGUGGGAACUGCAUUUGAAACUGGCAAACGGGAGUGUGUGAGAGGAUAGGGGAAUUGCAGGUGUAGGAGUGAA
RNAcentral lists this ribosomal RNA (355 nucleotides) under uncultured bacterium. RNAcentral describes it as "partial 16S ribosomal RNA". It matches the Rfam family "Bacterial small subunit ribosomal RNA", at positions 338 to 685 of the family's 1533-position model. The record is from RNAcentral.